Molecule: ribosomal RNA, 441 nt
Filed under: uncultured bacterium
Lineage: Bacteria
Description: partial 16S ribosomal RNA
Rfam family: Bacterial small subunit ribosomal RNA
Source: RNAcentral
CCUACGGGAGGCAGCAGUGGGGGAUAUUGCACAAUGGGGGGAACCCUGAUGCAGCGACGCCGCGUGGGUGAAGGAGUGCUUCGGCAUGUAAAGCCCUAUCGGCAGGGAAGAAGCAAGACGGUACCUGACUAAGAAGCCCCGGCUAACUACGUGCCAGCAGCCGCGGUAAUACGUAGGGGGCGAGCGUUAUCCGGAUUCACUGGGUGGAAAGGGAGCGUAGACGGCCAAGCAAGCCAGGGGGGAAAGCCCGGGGCCCAACCCCGGGACUGCCCUUGGAACUGCAUGGCUGGAGUGCGGGAGGGGCAGGCGGAAUGCCUGGUGUAGCGGUGAAAUGCGUAGAUAUCAGGAGGAACACCGGCGGCGAAGGCGGCCUGCUGGACCGCGACUGACGUUGAGGCUCGAAAGCGUGGGGAGCGAACAGGAUUAGAUACCCCAGUAGUC